Molecule: long non-coding RNA, 347 nt
Organism: Sphaeramia orbicularis (orbiculate cardinalfish)
Lineage: Eukaryota; Metazoa; Chordata; Actinopteri; Kurtiformes; Apogonidae
Exons: 4
Source: RefSeq, a predicted model, not a curated record
CCAUCCCACUCCCGCCUGUUCUGUUCAGCCCCGCCAUGUUGGUUGAGAUGGACAAGAUUUCUCCAUCUCACCUUGGCUCAGUUUUGAGUACUGCUACCUUUCCUACAGGAAAGAAGAUGUCUCCACCGAGACGUCAGAAAGCUGUUGCCCGGAGGACGUGCCAGUCUGCUGGUACCUCCAAGUCCACCUCUGGGAUGUAGGAGCACAAGCCGGUUGUGGAGGUGACGUGCCACCAGUCACCUCCCAGCUCCUCUCCUGGGAUGGAGGUGGGAACCUUCUCACCUUCCAGUUUUGCAAUGGAGGAGGACCAGGCGGUUGUACAGGUGAACUCCUCUGUUGCAGUGGCA